Phasianus colchicus (ring-necked pheasant) is the source of this 1655-nucleotide long non-coding RNA. Lineage: Eukaryota; Metazoa; Chordata; Aves; Galliformes; Phasianidae. The record is from Ensembl.
GUUUUCUCAGAGUUCAUUCCAUAUUUAAAAUUGGUAGAUAAGUAAUUCCAAAGCGAUUUUUGGCCUCUAAUGAGUUGGCAAACUCAUUGUGCCUCCUGGAUGUGACCAAUGGAUGAAAGUUUAAACAGGUGUGCAUGGCAUGUGGUCGGCUUAUUCUUUCAGUGGAUGCAUUUAAUGGGAUAAUUGUGCUCCUCAAUUGAAAAAUACAUUUAAUUUAAAGGUUCUAACAGAGUCCUCUGAACCUAUAAUGGGGAACACCCAUGUCAGAGGUUCUGUGUUGCCCACAUUAUACAUGAUUAAAUUUAACUGUGCUUCAGAUAAACAGCAUGCUGAUCUCACGUUUUCUGUCUCUUUCAUUCCAGGUGCACUGAAUCUUCAUUUUCAGCCUGAGUAUCAGCUUCUUGAAAGGUGCAUCUCAUCAGGUGAGAGCAACCUAGCCGAUGGAAGACCAAGGCCCCCAGGAGGAGUGGGAGGACUUUGCCCUUCAUGCCUGUUGCUCAGGAGUGAGGAACUGAGGCCAACACCAAGUGCACCAGAGAGCUUUGGAGCAGACCUGGAGCAGACACAGAGGGAACCUGCUGGUGCUGGGACACUGAAUAGGAGGAGGGAAAACCAGAGCCAGUGGAGAAUGGGACUGGCCAGAGCACACUCAUGAUAUGGACACAGUUGGACCCAAAUGCCAGGUGAUGACAAUGGCUUGGAAAUUCAAGCUUGAAGUCAUUUCUGUGAAUAUGAUAUCUGAACACCUUUGAUGCAGCCUACCUGUCUCUCCAGGUAUCUAAUGCAUUAUUUGAGAUAUUCCUGAGCAUUUUAUGAUAUAAAUGAUCUUCAUAUUCUUUUUUUGUUUGUUUGUUUUUUAGCCUUUGGAAGAAAAAUAUUCCUUUAAAUUACAGAAAUGAGUGUCUGUUGGAUGCAGAUGGAUGUAUCCAUUAUGAACAACUUAUUCAGGAAAUCUUGGUGACAGAGGAGAUUUGUCUUCUAUUUUAGAACAACAAAAGUGUUAUGGAUGGUUAAACAAAACCAGACCUAGAAAAUACUGAGUUAGCCAGGUGGGAAGGUGGCUCAGAAUGCUCUAUUCCUGUCAGCCUUCUUGAAUUUCCUCUUUCUGUUGAAAAAAUUGUUAUCCUCUUCUGCAUGUUGCUGAAGGUGGAUGUCUCCACUGCCCCAAAUCCCACACAAACUCUAAGCUCCAGUGAAAGAGUGGGCAGUGGGGAGGUAGAAGCAAAGGCUUAUUUUUGUGGAGUGCCACUCUAAGUGGAAAAUUUUAGACAGAUAAGAUCUGUUUCUCUGCCAAAUGAAAACUUCAGUGUACGCAUCCCACUUGCAAAAUGAUAUUUGUAUUUUUUUCCCUUAAAAUUACCAGAGUCUCCAUCUGGUAGCAUCCUAAAGGAUUAAACUGUAUUUGUGUAGAUGUUUUGUUCAGGACACAGCAUACAGCCUCUUCUUGUGCCUCCCAUUUUGACUUUCACUCUGUUUAUGCUGUAGAAGUAAAUGAAUUCAUGCCAUCUGCCCUGACAUCAAAAUGAAGCACAUCUGUGUGAGACAGCAACAGAGGGAUGCACGGGUCCAGGGAGGUUUCCAGCAGCAUCAGCUGCCUCAUCCCUGCACAUUUCAGGGAAUGUGGCCAGGCUGCUCUUCCAAAAAGGUGCUAAGUG